GCAAAACCCAAUUUACUAAAGCUCGCUCACUACCUACCAGAAAACCCUACUCACUCUUCAAGAGAAUCUGCUGCCAAAUGCCUUCUUUUGCCGCUUGAAGCUCCUUCUGGAAAAUUCAGGUGUCAUUCUUGAACACUUAAAUCUUGCAAGAAGGGGGAGUUCUAUGGAUUAUAGCUCCGGGGAAGACACUGAUAUAAGUGAAUCAGAGAUUGAAGAAUAUGGAGAAAAAUCUUACGAAGAUUUGAAGAGCGGAAGCCGUUCUCUUAAGAUAUCAGAUGUGGCAUAUACUUGCCCAUAUUGUCCAAAGAAAAGAAAGCGUGACUUUUUGUACAAGGAACUCGUACAGCAUGCAAGUGGGGUGGGAAGCUGUAGCUCCAAUAAAAGAACUGCAAGAGAAAAGGCGAAUCAUCUUGGGUUGGCAAAGUACUUGGAAACUGAUGCUGCAGUUGCUGCUGAUUCAUCUAAACCUGAUGCCGAGCCAGAUACUCAAACUGACCCUCUUGCGGAUCAUGACCGUGAUGAGAUGUUUGUCUGGCCUUGGAUCGGGGUUGUUGUGAACAUUCCUACUGAAUACAAGGAUGGACGCAAUGUGGGAGAAAGUGGUUCUAAGCUGAGGGAUCAGUUGACAAGGAGAGGUUUCAACCCUACAAGGGUACGUCCUCUGUGGAAUUACCAAGGCCAUUCUGGUACAGCUCUUGUUGAAUUCAACAAAGACUGGUCAGGAUUUGGUAAUGCAAUGGCGUAUGAGAAGGCUUAUGAGGCUGACCAUCAUGGCAAGAAGGACUGGAAAGUCAACCAUAGUAAAAACUCUGAUCUGUAUGCUUGGAUUGCUCGUGCCGAUGACUAUAAAGCUAUUAAUAUCAUCGGUGAAAAUCUCCGCAAGGUUGGAGACCUUAGAACCAUUUCCGAUAUCAUGGAAGAAGAAGCUCGGAAGACGAACAAGCUCGUUUCUAAUUUGACAAAUGUUAUUGAAGUCAAGAAGUUACACCUAAAGGAGAUGGCAGACAAAUUUAAGGAGACUUCACAGUCUUUGAAACAAUUGGUUGAAGAGAAAGAUAAACUGCAUCAAGCGUACAAUGAAGAGAUAAGAAAAAUCCAGUCAAGUGCACGUGAUCAUUUCCAGAAGAUAUUUAAUGAUCAUGAAAAGUUGAAAUUGCAAUUGGAAUCGCAAAAGAAAGAGCUUGAGCUACGAGGUAGAGAACUGGAGAAACGCGAGGCGAAAAAUGAAAGUGAUAGGAAGAAACUGUCUGAGGAUCUUGAACAGAAUGCUACUCUAAAUACCUCACUUAGUGCCGCAGCUGAAGAGCAAAGAAAGGUUGACGAGAAAGUACUGAAAUUGGCUGAAGAGCAGAAGAGGCAAAAGGAAGAUCUCCAUAAGAGAAUAAUUCAGCUGGAAAAACAACUUGAUGCGAAACAAGCGGUAGAGCUUGAAAUUGAGCAGUUGAGAGGGUCAUUGAACGUGAUGAAACAUAUUGAAGAUGAAGGUGAUCAAGAAGUUUUGAAAAAGGUGGACACACUCCUUAAAAGUUUAAGAGAGAAGGAAGAGGAAUAUGAUGGUUUGGAAGCAUUAAAUCAAACUCUGAUAGUGAAGGAAAGAAACAGUAAUGAUGAGCUGCAAGACGCUCGCAAAGAAUUGGUUAAUGGUUUGAAGGAACUACCGAGAGUUGGUCCAAUUGGUGUUAAGAGGAUGGGGGAGCUUGACAACAGACCAUUCCAUGAAGCAAUGAAGAGGAACUAUAAUGAGUCAGAAGCAGAUGAAAGAGCUACAGAGUUAUGCUCAUUGUGGGAGGAAUACCUUAGAGACCCUGGAUGGCAUCCCAUUAAAGUCGUUAUGAUUAACGGGAAACCUGAGAAUGUUAUAGACGAAGAAGAUGAAAAGCUGAAAGACUUGAAAAGAAAUUAUGGUGAAGAAGUUUGCAAAGCUGUGACAGCAGCUUUGAUGGAGGUAAACGAUUACAACCCGAGUGGAAGAUACAUCAUCUCAGAGCUGUGGAAUUAUGCGGUGAAUAAGAAAGCUACUUUGGAGGAGGGAGUUACUGUGUUACUAAACAUGUGGAAAAAGAAGAGAGGAUCUGAUUGAGGCUUCUAUGUGCUUUCCUUAGCCGUUUAGGCAGCCCCAAGAAUGGGGUGGGUGUGAUAACAUGUGACAACAACUUCAAACUCGUAAUAACUAUUAGAACCAUGAAUUCUUGUGUGAAUAAGAUGCACUCUGUGUUCCGAUUACCCUGUCGUUUAUUUUAUUUGGGGGGUUGAGCUUCCUCCUCCUGUGACUUAAUCAUAAGGAUAAGGUUUUCAAUGCCAUUUAGUUGGUGAGAUAUGUAGUGUGAGAUGCAGGUAUGUCAAUUCUUGCAAGAGCACUGUCAUCUUCCAAGUCAGGUAAUGGAGUCUAAUAAAGUAAACUAUAACAACUCAGUGAAAUCCCUACAACUAUGUAUGUAGAUGCACUGAAUAACUCUAAUCUAAUGUUCAUGUCUCUCCGAGUAUUGUAUAUU
Molecule: unclassified non-coding RNA, 2492 nt
Filed under: Hevea brasiliensis (rubber tree)
Lineage: Eukaryota; Viridiplantae; Streptophyta; Magnoliopsida; Malpighiales; Euphorbiaceae
Source: RNAcentral